GUGCCAGCCGCCGCGGUAAUACGUAGGGUGCAAGCGUUAAUCGGAAUUACUGGGCGUAAAGCGUGCGCAGGCGGUGAUGUAAGACAGAUGUGAAAUCCCCGGGCUCAACCUGGGAACUGCAUUUGUGACUGCAUUGCUGGAGUGCGGCAGAGGGGGAUGGAAUUCCGCGUGUAGCAGUGAAAUGCGUAGAUAUGCGGAGGAACACCGAUGGCGAAGGCAAUCCCCUGGGCCUGCACUGACGCUCAUGCACGAAAGCGUGGGGAGCAAACAGGAUUAGAUACCCUGGUAGUCCACGCCCUAAACGAUGUCAACUGGUUGUUGGGGAUUAACUUCCUCAGUAACGAAGCUAACGCGUGAAGUUGACCGCCUGGGGAGUACGGCCGCAAGGUUGAA
RNAcentral lists this ribosomal RNA (393 nucleotides) under uncultured bacterium. RNAcentral's name for it is "bacterial SSU rRNA". It matches the Rfam family "Bacterial small subunit ribosomal RNA", at positions 505 to 898 of the family's 1533-position model. The record is from RNAcentral.